Molecule: non-coding RNA, 832 nt
Organism: Camellia sinensis
Lineage: Eukaryota; Viridiplantae; Streptophyta; Magnoliopsida; Ericales; Theaceae
Source: RefSeq, a predicted model, not a curated record
ACUCUCUCUCUCAUUAUGUGUGUUUGUUUGUUUGUUGGUUUGUGUACUUGUUUAUACAAUGUGACAUGUGAUUGAUCAGAACAUCCCUAUAUGCUCUCUUUUCUGUUAAUCUGUUGUGCUAUUCCUUAUCUGCUCUAGCUUACCUUGGGGAAGCAUGUGAAAUAAGGGCAGAGACAGUGCUUUAGAAAUGAAUAUAUAAGAUUGCUGCUAUAGUGCCAUUGAAUCUCUGGCUAGAGUGCUGCUGCUUUUUUUUUUUUUUUUGGAUGAGGUUUAUGAGGAGCUUGUUCAGGCUAUCAAAGAUGCAGAGCAAUGGCUCCUUCAGUUGAAACGUGCAAGGUUGCUACGAGAGGUGGAUUCGGUUCUAGAUAGUUCCAAGUAUGUCGCUGAUGAUGUCAAAGUGGAGCCCCUUGAUCCAACACAAGUUGAAGCAGAACCACUGGCGGAUCUAAGUUAUUCUGUUGGAUCUAAGUGUAGAAUCCACCACACUGAUGGACGUUGGUAUGAUGGUCUGAUUUUUGGAUUGGAAGGUUAUAAUUCAGCGAAGAUUUCUUUCCUCACACCAACAUCUGAAAACAUGUUGUGAUGCUUUUGGGCCAGAUUGAUAAUGUUUGCAUGGGCGCAAUUUACAUUAUAUUUUUUCUUUAUGGAAAACAUGUACAGCUGAUAUGUUUUGUUAUUACGUUUCUUUUUUUUGUAGUUUGAAUUGUAAUUGUUGGUUCAGAUAGUAUAUGUAUUUGUUAGAUUAUACUAUGUUUCUGAAUUCUUAUUUUCUUUGAUAUGUACGGUUAAUAGUUAAGUUGUGUAUAUGGUUGAAAAUUGAAUGCUAUAGGUU